Non-coding RNA from Cordylochernes scorpioides, 71 nucleotides. The record is from the annotation of a GenBank genome assembly. NCBI's taxonomy places the organism in Eukaryota, Metazoa, Arthropoda, Arachnida, Pseudoscorpiones, Chernetidae.
UGCUUCGGCCGGGAAUCGAACCCUGGCCGCCCGCGUGGCAGGCGAGCAUUCUACCACUGAACCACAGAUGC